This 606-nucleotide ribosomal RNA is filed under the name uncultured bacterium. Its description in RNAcentral is "bacterial SSU rRNA". It matches the Rfam family "Bacterial small subunit ribosomal RNA", at positions 8 to 596 of the family's 1533-position model. The record is from RNAcentral.
ANAGUUUGAUCCUGGCUCAGGAUGAACGCUGGCGGCGUGCCUAAUACAUGCAAGUCGAACGCACAGCGAAAGGUGCUUGCACCUUUCAAGUGAGUGGCGAACGGGUGAGUAACACGUGGACAACCUGCCUCAAGGCUGGGGAUAACAUUUGGAAACAGAUGCUAAUACCGAAUAAAACUCAGUGUCGCAUGACACAAAGUUAAAAGGCGCUUUGGCGUCACCUAGAGAUGGAUCCGCGGUGCAUUAGUUAGUUGGUGGGGUAAAGGCCUACCAAGACAAUGAUGCAUAGCCGAGUUGAGAGACUGAUCGGCCACAUUGGGACUGAGACACGGCCCAAACUCCUACGGGAGGCUGCAGUAGGGAAUCUUCCACAAUGGGCGAAAGCCUGAUGGAGCAACGCCGCGUGUGUGAUGAAGGCUUUCGGGUCGUAAAGCACUGUUGUAUGGGAAGAACAGCUAGAAUAGGGAAUGAUUUUAGUUUGACGGUACCAUACCAGAAAGGGACGGCUAAAUACGUGCCAGCAGCCGCGGUAAUACGUAUGUCCCGAGCGUUAUCCGGAUUUAUUGGGCGUAAAGCGAGCGCAGACGGUUGAUUAAGUCUGAUGUG